This 329-nucleotide ribosomal RNA is filed under the name uncultured eukaryote. RNAcentral describes it as "partial 18S ribosomal RNA". It matches the Rfam family "Eukaryotic small subunit ribosomal RNA", at positions 1470 to 1796 of the family's 1831-position model. The record is from RNAcentral.
CCCUUAGAUGUUCUGGGCCGCACGCGCGCUACACUGACGAUGGCAACGAGUUUUUCCUUCGCCGAAAGGUGUGGGUAAUCUUUUGAAACAUCGUCGUGCUGGGGAUAGAUCAUUGCAAUUUUUGAUCUUGAACGAGGAAUUCCUAGUAAGCGCGAGUCAUCAGCUCGCGUUGAUUACGUCCCUGCCCUUUGUACACACCGCCCCUCGCUACUACCGAUUGAAUGGUUUAGUGAGGACUCCUGAUUGGCGCCGCCGCCCCGGCAACGGAGCAGCGGACUGCCGAAAAGUUGUUCAAACUUGAUCAUUUAGAGGAAGUAAAAGUCGUAACA